CUCAGAAUGGUAAACUUUAACCAGCCAAACUGGCAUUUCCAGGGGUUGGGGGUCCGGGAGCAACUGUGGGAGACUUUUCCCCCUUAGCUCAACUCUUCAGUCUGCUUUUGAUUCAUGGGAAAAGGAAAAAGGCUUUGCUCCUUUUCUCCGAUGUAGGAACUAAGUUUUACUGAGAACCAAUUGCCUAUUGAGCAUGAGAGUAUUUUACCACACAAAUCAGUUCAGCGUGGAUGAAACAUUUCUUGAGAUUUUUUCAGAGGCCACCAAAUUAACCUACUUUUUGUCUAAAAAUGGCCUCUCCACCAUCUUCUACAGUACUUACAGUUCAAGAUUGUCUUUCCAGAAGCUUUAAGAUUUGUUCUCUUGCUCCAAAAACUGAUUGUGUCCUGUGAGGGUGGGAUGCUUUGAGCUGCUCCAGCCAUUUAGUGACCUGAAGAAAGACAUCACUGAAAUGCUGAAGAUUACGAAGCUGAAAGUGAGGAAGAUAAUUCAAUGACAUUAUUGAGCAGCAGAAUUACCCCUGGAACCAACUAACUGCAGAUGUUUUGUUAUGUGAAAUUAAUGAGCCUCUAUUAUUUGUUUAAGACACUUUUAUAUAAGUGUUCAUAUACACAGAGCCUAAGACACACUUCCUUAUACAAGGGUCUAAAAUGUGUAAAUGGCAUUGCUUUGAGGGCAUGGAUCCUUCCAGGCCUAGCUUCCUAGUUGAUAGAAUGACUAAUUCCCUGUGAUAUAGAUGAUACAUGGUCAUCUGCCUCCUCCUAGCACUAUUUAGGCAAAUUGCUAAAAUAGAUGAGUUAUUGUACUAUCUUUCUAACAUUACUCAAUGCCCUCUCCUCAGCUGAGUUAUCCAUUAAGAAGACUAGGAACAUGGCUAGGGUAUAAUAAGCAAAGAAAAUUCAGAAAACAUGAUAAGAAGUUUAGCUUUGAUAAAUACUCUGAAUUUUAUAAUCAGGAAAUCUAAAAAUAAAUUAAUUUAAUAUUACAUUAUGUAAGGUCUAUUAAUAUCCUAUUAAUAUCACAUAUAAUAUUAAUACCAUAUAUAAAGUUCUGUGAUUUUCAUUAAAAUAUUAUUUUAAAUUUGAGUAACUGUGGUAGAGAUUGCUCAUGCACAUUCUCAUCUGGUUUUGCUCUCUAUCCUGGGCCAAUGCAAGAUGAACACAAUCUAUCUGUCUAUGUACACAAUCUAAGAUCUAUCACAAGCCAUUGCUGAUAGAACUGUUGGCUAAUCCUGGCCAAUGAAAUGUGAGGGGAAAGAAUGCAGAAUUUCAGAAUUGCUAUGGACUCGUGACUACUGUGAAUUUCCUACUCCUUCUCUUUCCAAGUGGGAAUGUUUAUUGUAUUUUCCUGCUCCUUCUCUGCCAAUGUGUGUUGCAAGAAUGGGUGGCAAGAUAAACUCAUCUCUUUAGUUCCUAGUUCAUCUAACCAAGACAUGACACUUCUGGACAUGAUGGAGGAAAUUAUUCUUAUCACCUGGAGACCAUGCACCGUGUAAAGGAUGUAAUUCCUGGAUGUGACGUUGACUUUUCUUCCUAAGGAAGUGAUUGUGUUCUUCAUAGAGACACAAUAAUAAACCAAUUAUUUGUGAUCAAAAAGGCAGACCGCAGUGGAGAUUAUCUGCGCUUAUCCAUACCCUUUUCUCCUUUCCUUCCUGGGAAGAUGAGAAUUCCAGUCACCUUGAAGUUAUUAGGAUCAUAAACUAGUUCUAGCCAAUGAGAAAGAAGAGAAAGUGCUAUAAAAUUUCUUCUAUGUCAAAAUAUUGUAAAGUCAGUUUGCCACCUUUAUGGUCUUGUCAUCUCCUUUGGCAAUAAAUAAGAAGGUCAUAUUUUAAGAGAGUGGCCUACAAGAUAAAGGAAACCUUCCAAAUAAAUGGAGAAUAAUGUCUCCUACCUGCAUUAGACUUUAAAUGAUUUUAUGGUUCUAAAUCACUGAGCCUUUGGGAGUUUGUUAUUAAAGCAGAACUUAACACAUUCUGACUAAUAACAUAAGAAGAAAGGAGGAACCAAUACCUCUCCAUACUUAGGUCAUUAAUACCCUCCUCCUAGGCACACUGUCUCUUGAUUGCCCUAAGACAACUAUGCAUGCAACCCCCCAGGCCCACUGCCUUUGACCAUCUGACUACACCCAGAAUCUAGUCCCUUUUCAUUAACCAUCAAAACUUCUUCCUCCUGUCUAUAGUCUUGCACACUAUAUACAGAAGAAUUUACACUUAAAUAUUACCAUUUUGAUAGCAAUCUCAGACAGAAGUUCUCAAGGGAGGAAAUGCUCUUUUCAUUUUGCUUACUUGAUUCCCUUUCCUGAGUAUCUAUAUAUAAAUCAGUGCCUACAGGAAUGCUUUUUCUUGGAAUCGUAACAAAAAUGACAAUAGGAUUU
Long non-coding RNA from Manis pentadactyla (Chinese pangolin), 2373 nucleotides. RefSeq lists it as uncharacterized. The record is from RefSeq and is a predicted model, not a curated record. NCBI's taxonomy places the organism in Eukaryota, Metazoa, Chordata, Mammalia, Pholidota, Manidae. The transcript is spliced from 3 exons.